This 450-nucleotide ribosomal RNA is filed under the name uncultured bacterium. RNAcentral describes it as "partial 16S ribosomal RNA". It matches the Rfam family "Bacterial small subunit ribosomal RNA", at positions 354 to 796 of the family's 1533-position model. The record is from RNAcentral.
GUCGAGAAUAAUUCACAAUGGGGGCAACCCUGAUGGUGCAACGCCGCGUGGAGGAUGAAGGUCUUCGGAUUGUAAACUCCUGUCAUCCGGGAGCAAGACCUGGCCGUGAAUAGCGGACAGGGUUGAUAGUACCGGAAGAGGAAGGGACGGCUAACUUCGUGCCAGCAGCCGCGGUAAUACGAAGGUCCCGAGCGUUGUUCGGAAUCACUGGGCGUAAAGGGAGCGUAGGCGGCGCGGUAAGUCAGAUGUGAAAUCCUAGGGCUCAACCCUGGAACUGCAUCGGAUACUGCUGUGCUUGAGCAAUGGAGAGGUAGCCGGAAUUCUCGGUGUAGCAGUGAAAUGCGUAGAUAUCGAGAGGAACACUCGUGGCGAAAGCGGGCUACUGGACAUUUGCUGACGCUGAGGCUCGAAGGCCGGGGGAGCGAAAGGGAUUAGAAACCCCUGUAGUCC